AGAGUUUGAUCCUGGCUCAGAUUGAACGCUGGCGGCAUGCCUUACACAUGCAAGUCGAACGGCAGCACGGGAGCAAUCCUGGUGGCGAGUGGCGAACGGGUGAGUAAUGUAUCGGAACGUACCUUUCAGUGGGGGAUAACUAUCCGAAAGGAUAGCUAAUACCGCAUAUUCUGUGAGCAGGAAAGCAGGGGAUCUUAGGACCUUGCGCUGAUUGAGCGGCCGAUAUCAGAUUAGCUAGUUGGUGGGGUAAAGGCCUACCAAGGCGACGAUCUGUAGCGGGUCUGAGAGGAUGAUCCGCCACACUGGAACUGAGACACGGUCCAGACUCCUACGGGAGGCAGCAGUGGGGAAUUUUGGACAAUGGGGGCAACCCUGAUCCAGCCAUGCCGCGUGAGUGAAGAAGGCCUUCGGGUUGUAAAGCUCUUUCAGCCGGGAAGAAAACGCAUGGGUUAAUACCCUGUGUGGAUGACGGUACCGGAAUAAGAAGCACCGGCUAAUUUCCGCC
This 505-nucleotide ribosomal RNA is filed under the name uncultured beta proteobacterium. RNAcentral's name for it is "bacterial SSU rRNA". It matches the Rfam family "Bacterial small subunit ribosomal RNA", at positions 8 to 509 of the family's 1533-position model. Lineage: Bacteria; Pseudomonadati; Pseudomonadota; Betaproteobacteria. The record is from RNAcentral.